GCUCCCUCCCACCGCAGCUUGACCCGGUAGUGAAGGCGGAGAGAGAGAGGCAGGCUGGGCCCGCCUGGCAGCCUGCAAGAGGAGGCGGGAGCGGGAAAGGAGGGGAGCCCAGGCCGGGAGUUGGGAGGCCGGCGGGCAGGGAUGCGAGCCGAGUGCGGACCUUUCUUCAGCCUCCUAGAGGCCGAGCGCUGUGCUAGGCUGCGGCGCUGAGAGGACGUCCUGGCUCCCCCAGGACGGGCUGGGCUAGGGCAGAGCUAGCGAGACCUGGACUUGAGUGCUACGGCUGGAGCGCCGCCGGCCCCCUGGCGCGGUACCCUGCUGAGAGAAAGCUGACUGUGGGGCCCGCUAUGGCAUUGCGGGAGAAGCCUGGGCGCUGGGAGCCGGGAGAGGCGCAGCAGCUCACUGUUAGAGACUUCGUCUCUUCACGUUUUCAGUCAGACUCGUGGCAGAGUUCUCAGAAUUCCCCUCAGAGGAGCGGAAAGUUAGAGAACUGCAGGCCCCGCACCCCCGACACCGGGGAGGGCGAAGCAGCCUCGCCUUCCCCGGGGCGGGCGCAGCCCACGCGUCGCGCCGGGACGUGAACUCCGCGUGGGAGGAGUUGUCUGGUGAAAGGCAAUUUCCAGGAGCGAGGGGAAGGGGCUUCGCGCUUCCUGGUUAGGUGCGGCGGAAGGGAAGGGGCUGCGGGGUGAAGUAAGGUUGCAGCCUCAGAGAAGUGUACAGUUUAACGCGCGAACUGCAGCCGAGACGGCAGGGGCACGCCCUCGCCCAGAAAAGCCCUCAGUGACUCGGGCUUAUAGCUUGGGAAGAAACCUUAAAUUGACCCGGCCCGACAACCUCCUGCUGCAGAGAAGGAAAAGAAGCCUCCGAAGGUGAACAUAGCGGCAGAAUCGGGGCUGGAACUCAGCUCGCCGGCCCAUCACCAGGCUCCUUUCCCUUCACCAACUUUGCAGCCAGGACGGAGAGGUGUUUGAGGAGCAAGAAUAAGGAGCCAUGGACAGUGAGACCAAAGCAUGGUAUACUCCAUCAAGAAAAAUCUUUAUAAAGGGUGAGACCUACUUGACCAGAGGUCCCUGGUACUCCCCGUGAAGCCAACCCAGCACUGGUGCCCAGAGAGAGCUGGUUCGUCACCGUGAAAGUCUGCUUGUAGAAACGGCCCCUUUAAGAGGCAUCUGCAGCUGCCAUAGGCUCCAUCCCACUCACCCGCUCUGGACCAGGCAGCCUUGCGUCCUCGCACUGUCCUACCUUCUGCCAUUGCAGAGUGAUCUCUUAGUUCCCUCCUUACUUGUAUGGCUUGUUCAUCUGGAUCCCAGCCUAUUGCAUAACUGAAGAGGGAGAUGCCAUUUUGCCUCCAUGACUUGACAAGUAUGAAGAUAAAACCUUCCCUGUGAGGAUGACAGAGAAAAAUGAUAGAAGGGGGCUUAGACUCCCUGUCUUCAGACUUCUUGUUAUGUGAGGAAAAUAAAAUGCUAUUACAAAGUUAAA
Molecule: long non-coding RNA, 1482 nt
Organism: Pteropus alecto (black flying fox)
Lineage: Eukaryota; Metazoa; Chordata; Mammalia; Chiroptera; Pteropodidae
Exons: 4
Source: RefSeq, a predicted model, not a curated record